This 292-nucleotide ribosomal RNA is filed under the name uncultured bacterium. RNAcentral describes it as "partial 16S ribosomal RNA". The record is from RNAcentral.
GGACUACUAGGGUAUCUAAUCCUGUUCGCUCCCCACGCUUUCGCUCCUCAGCGUCAGUACAGGCCCAGAGAACCGCCUUCGCCACCGGUGUUCCUCCCGAUAUCUGCGCAUUUCACCGCUACACCGGGAAUUCCGUUCUCCCCUGCCUGCCUCUAGCCAGCCCGUAUCCACUGCAAGCCCGGGGUUGAGCCCCGGGAUUUCACAGCGGACGCAACUGGCCGCCUACGAGCUCUUUACGCCCAAUAAUUCCGGACAACGCUUGCGCCCUACGUAUUACCGCGGCUGCUGGCAC